This 63-nucleotide transfer RNA is filed under the name Leptynoptera sulfurea. RNAcentral's name for it is "tRNA-Ile". Lineage: Eukaryota; Metazoa; Arthropoda; Insecta; Hemiptera; Triozidae. The record is from RNAcentral.
AAAAGAGAUGCCUGAUAAAGGAUUAUUUUGAUGUAAUAAAACAUGUUUUUAUAAACUCUCUUU